Molecule: ribosomal RNA, 253 nt
Filed under: uncultured bacterium
Lineage: Bacteria
Description: partial 16S ribosomal RNA
Rfam family: Bacterial small subunit ribosomal RNA
Source: RNAcentral
UACGAAGGGGGCUAGCGUUGCUCGGAAUGACUGGGCGUAAAGCGUGCGCAGGCGGUUUUGUAAGCCAGAUGUGAAAGCCCCGGGCUCAACCUGGGAACUGCAUUUGUGACUGCAUAGCUAGAGUAUGGCAGAGGGGGGUAGAAUUCCACGUGUAGCAGUGAAAUGCGUAGAGAUGUGGAGGAAUACCGAUGGCGAAGGCAGCCCCCUGGGCCAAUACUGACGCUCAUGCACGAAAGCGUGGGGAGCAAACAGG